GUGGGGAAUAUUGCACAAUGGGCGAAAGCCUGAUGCAGCAACGCCGCGUGAGGGACGACGGCCUUCGGGUUGUAAACCUCUUUUAGUAGGGAAGAAGCGAAAGUGACGGUACCUGCAGAAAAAGCACCGGCUAACUACGUGCCAGCAGCCGCGGUAAUACGUAGGGUGCAAGCGUUAUCCGGAAUUAUUGGGCGUAAAGAGCUCGUAGGCGGUCUGUCGCGUCUGCUGUGAAAACUGGAGGCUCAACCUCCAGCCUGCAGUGGGUACGGGCAGACUAGAGUGCGGUAGGGGAGAUUGGAAGUCCUGGUGUAGCGGUGGAAUGCGCAGAUAUCAGGAGGAACACCGAUGGCGAAGGCAGAUCUCUGGGCCGUAACUGACGCUGAGGAGCGAAAGCGUGGGGAGCGAACAGGAUUAGAAACCCGGGUAGUCC
RNAcentral lists this ribosomal RNA (430 nucleotides) under uncultured bacterium. RNAcentral describes it as "partial 16S ribosomal RNA". It matches the Rfam family "Bacterial small subunit ribosomal RNA", at positions 354 to 796 of the family's 1533-position model. The record is from RNAcentral.